RNAcentral lists this ribosomal RNA (364 nucleotides) under uncultured eukaryote. Its description in RNAcentral is "partial 18S ribosomal RNA". It matches the Rfam family "Eukaryotic small subunit ribosomal RNA", at positions 592 to 975 of the family's 1831-position model. The record is from RNAcentral.
CAAUAGCGUAUAUUUAAGUUGUUGCAGUUAAAAAGCUCGUAGUCGGAUUUUGGCUGAGAACGAUCGGUCCGCCGUUAGGUGUGCACUGAUUGGUCUCAGCUUCCUGGUGAGGAGGUGUGCUUCACGGCCACUUAGUCACCGUGGUUACUUUGAAAAAAUUAGAGUGUUCAAAGCGGGCUUACGCUUGAAUAUAUUAGCAUGGAAUAACACCAUAGGACUCCUGUCCUAUUUCGUUGGUCUCGGGACGGGAGUAAUGAUUAAGAGGAACAGUUGGGGGCAUUCGUAUUUCAUUGUCAGAGGUGAAAUUCUUGGAUUUAUGAAAGACGGACUUCUGCGAAAGCAUUUGCCAAGGAUGUUUUCAUUG